RNAcentral lists this ribosomal RNA (745 nucleotides) under uncultured soil bacterium. Its description in RNAcentral is "bacterial SSU rRNA". It matches the Rfam family "Bacterial small subunit ribosomal RNA", at positions 8 to 796 of the family's 1533-position model. The record is from RNAcentral.
AGAGUUUGAUCAUGGCUCAGGAUGAACGCUGGCGGUCUGCUUAACACAUGCAAGUCGAACGGAGUAGAAAUACUUAGUGGCGGACGGGUGAGUAACGCGUGAGAAUCUGCCUUCAGGACGGAGACAACAGUUGGAAACGACUGCUAAGCCCCGAUGAACCGAAAGGGAAAAUAUUUAUAGCCUGAAGAUGAGCUCGCGUCCGAUUAGCUAGUUGGGGGGGUAAAGGCCCACCAAGGCGACGAUCGGUAGCUGGUCUGAGAGGACGAUCAGCCGGAUUGGGACUGAGAUACGGCCCAGACUCCUACGGGGGGCAGCAAUUAGGAAUCUUGCGCAAUGGGGGAAACCCUGACGCAGCGACGCCGCGUGCGGGAUGAAGGCCUUCGGGUCGUAAACCGCUUUUCUCAAGGAAGAAGAAUGUGACGGUACUUGAGGAAUAAGCCCCGGCUAACUACGUGCCAGCAGCCGCGGUAAUACGUAGGGGGCGAGCGUUGUCCGAAGUUACUGGGCGUAAAGCGCGCGUAGGCGGCUUUCUAAGUCUGGUGUGAAAGGUUCAGGGCUCAACCCGAACAGUGCACUGGAUACUGGCAAGCUUGAGGACGGGAGAGGGAAGCGGAAUUCCAGGUGUAGCGGUGAAAUGCGUAGAUAUCUGGAGGAACACCGAUGGCGAAGGCAGCUUCCUGGCCUGUUUCUGACGCUGAGGUGCGAAAGCGUGGGGAGCGAACGGGAUUAGAUACCCCCGUAGUCC